Molecule: transfer-messenger RNA, 363 nt
Filed under: Salmonella enterica
Lineage: Bacteria; Pseudomonadati; Pseudomonadota; Gammaproteobacteria; Enterobacterales; Enterobacteriaceae
Also listed under: 6 other names
Description: Standard tmRNA
Rfam family: transfer-messenger RNA
About the family: Bacterial tmRNA, also known as 10Sa RNA or SsrA, is named for its dual tRNA and mRNA-like properties. Its role is to liberate the mRNA from a stalled ribosome. To accomplish this part of the tmRNA is used as a reading frame that ends in a translation stop signal.
Source: RNAcentral
GGGGCUGAUUCUGGAUUCGACGGGAUUUGCGAAACCCAAGGUGCAUGCCGAGGGGCGGUUGGCCUCGUAAAAAGCCGCAAAAAAAUAGUCGCAAACGACGAAAACUACGCUUUAGCAGCUUAAUAACCUGCUUAGAGCCCUCUCUCCCUAGCCUCCGCUCUUAGGACGGGGAUCAAGAGAGGUCAAACCCAAAAGAGAUCGCGCGGAUGCCCUGCCUGGGGUUGAAGCGUUAAAACGAAUCAGGCUAGUCUGGUAGUGGCGUGUCCGUCCGCAGGUGCCAGGUGAAUGUAAAGACUGACUAAGCAUGUAGUACCGAGGAUGUAGGAAUUUCGGACGCGGGUUCAACUCCCGCCAGCUCCACCA